GAACCSCAUGGUUCAAUUAUWAAAAGGUGGSUUUUAGCUACCACUUACAGAUGGACCCGCGGCGCAUUAGCUAGUUGGUGAGGUAACGGCUCACCAAGGCRACGAUGCGUAGCCGACCUGAGAGGGUGAUCGGCCACACUGGGACUGAGACACGGCCCAGACUCCUACGGGAGGCAGCAGUAGGGAAUCUUCCGCAAUGGACGAAAGUCUGACGGAGCAACGCCGCGUGAGUGAUGAAGGUUUUCGGAUCGUAAAACUCUGUUGUUAGGGAAGAACAAGUACCGUUCGAAUAGGGCGGUACCUUGACGGUACCUAACCAGAAAGCCACGGCUAACUUACGUGCCAGCAGSMGCGGUAAUACKUAGKUKGCAAAGSUU
RNAcentral lists this ribosomal RNA (377 nucleotides) under Bacillus licheniformis. RNAcentral's name for it is "partial 16S ribosomal RNA". The record is from RNAcentral. Lineage: Bacteria; Bacillati; Bacillota; Bacilli; Caryophanales; Bacillaceae.